AGACGUAGGUUGCGAGCGUUAUCCGGAAUUAUUGGGCGUAAAGCGUCAGUAGGUGGUUUGUUAAGUUGGAUGUUAAAGCUCAGAGCUCAACUCUGAACAUGUGUCCAAAACUGGCAAGCUAGAGACAGGUAGAGGCAAGUGGAAUUCUGUAUGUAGGGGUAAUAUCCGUAGAUAUACAGAGGAACACCAAAAGCGAAGGCAGCUUGCUGGACCUGUUCUGACACUCAAUGACGAAAGCGUGGGGAGCAAACGGGAUUAGAUACCCCGGUAGUCCACGCCCUAAACGAUGAACACUAGGUGUUGGAGGUCUCGACCCCUCCAGUGCCGACGCUAACGCAUUAAGUGUUCCGCCUGGGUAGUACGGCCGCAAGGUUAAA
Molecule: ribosomal RNA, 377 nt
Filed under: uncultured bacterium
Lineage: Bacteria
Description: bacterial SSU rRNA
Rfam family: Bacterial small subunit ribosomal RNA
Source: RNAcentral